GACGAACGCUGGCGGCGUGCUUAACACAUGCAAGUCGAACGGAAAGGCCCUGCUUUUGUGGGGUGCUCGAGUGGCGAACGGGUGAGUAACACGUGAGUAACCUGCCCUUGACUUUGGGAUAACUUCAGGAAACUGGGGCUAAUACCGGAUAGGAGCUCCUGCUGCAUGGUGGGGGUUGGAAAGUUUCGGCGGUUGGGGAUGGACUCGCGGCUUAUCAGCUUGUUGGUGGGGUAGUGGCUUACCAAGGCUUUGACGGGUAGCCGGCCUGAGUGGGUGACCGGCCACAUUGGGACUGAGAUACGGCCCAGACUCCUACGGGAGGCAGCAGUGGGGAAUAUUGCACAAUGGGCAGAAGCCUGAUGCAGCAACGCCGCGUGCGGGAUGACGGCCUUCGGGUUGUAAACCGCUUUCGCCUGUGACGAAGCGUGAGUGACGGUAAUGGGUAAAGAAGCACCGGCUAACUACGU
Molecule: ribosomal RNA, 467 nt
Filed under: uncultured bacterium
Lineage: Bacteria
Description: partial 16S ribosomal RNA
Rfam family: Bacterial small subunit ribosomal RNA
Source: RNAcentral